AACGAACGCUGGCGGCGCGCCUAAUACAUGCAAGUCGAGCGAGAAGACGUAGCAAUACGUUUGUAAAGCGGCGAACGGGUGAGGAAUACAUGGGUAACCUACCCUCGAGUGGGGAAUAACUAGCCGAAAGGUUAGCUAAUACCGCGUACGCUCCUUGGACUUCGGUUCAGGGAGGAAAGCGAUACCGUGGGUAUCGCGCUCUUGGAUGGGCUCAUGUCCUAUCAGCUUGUUGGUGAGGAACGGCUCACCAAGGCUUCGACGGGUAGCUGGUCUGAGAGGACGAUCAGCCACACUGGCACUGCGACACGGGCCAGACUCCUACGGGAGGCAGCAGUAAGGAAUAUUGCGCAAUGGGCGAAAGCCUGACGCAGCGACGCCGCGUGGGGGAUGAAGGUCUUCGGAUUGUAAACCCCUUUCGGGAGGGAAGAUGGAACGAGCAAUCGUUCGGACGGUACCUCCAGAAGCAGCCACGGCUAACUUCGUGCCAGCCGCCGCGGUAAU
This 501-nucleotide ribosomal RNA is filed under the name uncultured bacterium. RNAcentral describes it as "bacterial SSU rRNA". It matches the Rfam family "Bacterial small subunit ribosomal RNA", at positions 29 to 524 of the family's 1533-position model. The record is from RNAcentral.